GGGUUGUGAGGUUAAGUGACUAAGCGUACACGGUGGAUGCCUAGGCAGUCAGAGGCGAUGAAGGGCGUGCUAAUCUGCGAAAAGCGUCGGUAAGGUGAUAUGAACCGUUACAACCGGCGAUACCCGAAUGGGGAAACCCAGUGUGUUUCGACACACUAUCAUGUCAUGAAUACAUAGUGGCAUGAGGCGAACCGGGGGAACUGAAACAUCUAAGUACCCCGAGGAAAAGAAAUCAACCGAGAUUCCCCCAGUAGCGGCGAGCGAACGGGGAGGAGCCCAGAACCUGAAUCGGCUUGUGUGUUAGUGGAAGCGUCUGGAAAGUCGCGCAGCAAAGGGUGAUAGCCCCGUACACUAAAAUGCACAGGUCGUGAGUUCGAUGAGUAGGGCGGGACACGUGACAUCCUGUCUGAAUAUGGGGGGACCAUCCUCCAAGGCUAAAUACUCCUGACUGACCGAUAGUGAACCAGUACCGUGAGGGAAAGGCGAAAAGAACCCCGGCGAGGGGAGUGAAAUAGAACCUGAAACCGUGUACGUACAAGCAGUGGGAGCACCUUCGUGGUGUGACUGCGUACCUUUUGUAUAAUGGGUCAGCGACUUAUAUUUUGUAGCAAGGUUAACCGUAUAGGGGAGCCGUAGGGAAACCGAGUCUUAACUGGGCGAAUAGUUGCAAGGUAUAGACCCGAAACCCGGUGAUCUAGCCAUGGGCAGGUUGAAGGUUGGGUAACACUAACUGGAGGACCGAACCGACUAAUGUUGAAAAAUUAGCGGAUGACUUGUGGCUGGGGGUGAAAGGCCAAUCAAACCGGGAGAUAGCUGGUUCUCCCCGAAAGCUAUUUAGGUAGCGCCUCGUGAACUCAUCUUCGGGGGUAGAGCACUGUUUCGGCUAGGGGGCCAUCCCGGCUUACCAAACCGAUGCAAACUCCGAAUACCGAAGAAUGUUAUCACGGGAGACACACGGCGGGUGCUAACGUCCGUCGUGAAGAGGGAAACAACCCAGACCGCCAGCUAAGGUCCCAAAGUCAUGGUUAAGUGGGAAACGAUGUGGGAAGGCAUAGACAGCCAGGAUGUUGGCUUAGAAGCAGCCAUCAUUUAAAGAAAGCGUAAUAGCUCACUGGUCGAGUCGGCCUGCGCGGAAGAUGUAACGGGGCUAAACCAUGCACCGAAGCUGCGGCAGCGACGCUUAGGCGUUGUUGGGUAGGGGAGCGUUCUGUAAGCCGUUGAAGGUGGCCUGUGAGGGUUGCUGGAGGUAUCAGAAGUGCGAAUGCUGACAUAAGUAACGAUAAAGCGGGUGAAAAGCCCGCUCGCCGGAAGACCAAGGGUUCCUGUCCAACGUUAAUCGGGGCAGGGUGAGUCGACCCCUAAGGCGAGGCUGAAAAGCGUAGUCGAUGGGAAACAGGUUAAUAUUCCUGUACUUGGUGUUACUGCGAAGGGGGGACGGAGAAGGCUAGGCUAGCCGGGCGACGGUUGUCCCGGUUUAAGCGUGUAGGGGGUGUGACCUGGUAAAUCCGGUU
Molecule: ribosomal RNA, 1511 nt
Rfam family: Bacterial large subunit ribosomal RNA